GUUGGUGCAAAAGUAAUCGCGGUUUUUGCCAUAAAAGUAAUAGCAAAAACUGUAAUUACUUUUGCACGAACCUAA
This 75-nucleotide microRNA precursor is filed under the name Colobus angolensis palliatus. RNAcentral describes it as "miRNA (ENSCANG00000016533.1)". The record is from RNAcentral. Lineage: Eukaryota; Metazoa; Chordata; Mammalia; Primates; Cercopithecidae.